Molecule: unclassified non-coding RNA, 263 nt
Filed under: plant metagenome
Description: partial contains small subunit ribosomal RNA, internal transcribed spacer 1, and 5.8S ribosomal RNA
Source: RNAcentral
UUUCCGUAGGUGAACCUGCGGAAGGAUCAUUAUUGUAUAACCGAGGUGCGAGGGCUGUCGCUGACCCGAAAGGUCGUGCACGCCCGAGUGCCCUCACCCACAUCCAUCUCACCCCUAUGUGCACCACCGCGUGGGUCCCCCUUUGGCUUGUUCGGAGGGGGGCUUACGUUUUCACACAAACUUUGUAUGCAGUGUAGAGUGUAUUUUUUGUUUUUGCGAUCACGCAAUCAAUACAACUUUCAACAACGGAUCUCUUGGCUCUC